UAUGUAAUUGGUAUCCAAGUAAAGACAAUGGAGCUAAAUGCAAAAAAUGUUACUUAGAAGCAUGUAUAAAUUGUAUAGAAAACACUUUAAAAAUACAAGUAGAACCCGAAAUAAAUAACGGACAAAAAUAUACGAAUAAUCAAAUCCUAAAUCUAAGGGUGUCUACUUUAGAAACCAGAGUAAAUGAUUUAGAACAAAGAUUAACUAUCCUAGAAAAAGGAAAAACCAAAAUCGCCAUAGAAGAAACAGAUACACAAGAGGCGGUACAUUUAGAAAAAC
This 279-nucleotide long non-coding RNA is filed under the name Capsicum annuum. RNAcentral describes it as "long non-coding RNA (CANN_LNC017023)". The record is from RNAcentral. Lineage: Eukaryota; Viridiplantae; Streptophyta; Magnoliopsida; Solanales; Solanaceae.